ACGGAUCACGCCGCGUGAGUGAUGAAGGUUUUCGGAUCUGUAAACUCUGUUGUUAGGGAAGAACAAGUGCAUAGUAACUGAUGGCACCUUGACGGUACCUAACCAGAAAGCCACGGCUAACUACGUGCCAGCAGCCGCGGUAAUACGUAGGUGGCAAGCGUUGUCCGGGAAUUAUUUGGGCGUAAAGGCGCUCGCAAGGCGGGUUCUUUACAGUCCGGAUGUUGAAAUCUUAACGGCUCAACCCGUAAACGUGCCUUGGGAAACUUGGGGAACUUUGAGUGCCGACAGAGGAGAGUGGAAUUCCACGUUGUAGCGGUGAAAUGCGUAGAGAUGUGGAGGAACACCAGUGUGGCGAAGGCGACUCUCUGGUCUUGUAACUGACGCUGAGGAGCGAAAGCGUGGGGAGCGAACAGGAUUAGAUACCCUGGUAGUCCACGCCGUAAACGAA
Molecule: ribosomal RNA, 448 nt
Filed under: uncultured bacterium
Lineage: Bacteria
Description: bacterial SSU rRNA
Rfam family: Bacterial small subunit ribosomal RNA
Source: RNAcentral